AAUCCUUACACAAUCAAGAAAAAUAGCAUAAUGAUUUGCACCAGAAGCGGUGAUCAAAGGCUAAGAAGUGACUUCAAAGUUGUUGAGUAAAGGGGAGGUAGGCCCAUUUAAUACAUGUCCGCAUAACAUACAAGGCCCAAAGCCCAAUAACUAACAAACUCAGACUGAGCAACAAAAGCUCAAGUCCGAACAUAUACAACUGAAUGAUAAACUCGGACUAGGAACUACAUACCAAAGUCCGGACUACAAAUAAAGACAAAAUCCGGAUUAGGGAACUACAUACCCUAAUCCGGAAUUACAUAAACUCGGAACAAAAGAUAAACGCGAACAUAACAUAAAGUUUGUUACAACUUUCAUUUAAGACUCUAAACAAUUGGAAAUCCAACACUUAUCACAAAAGUGCAUUUACAAUAUACACAUAUAUAUAUAUAUGUACAUAUACAGGGUCAGGAUUUAGAGAGAACGGUGAAAAGUGUGAGAACGGUGAGAAUGAUUUUGGUAGUGACAUGUUGCAUUGAUGCUAAAUUACACUAAGGGUAAUAUUUGUCAAAAAAAAAAACCCACUCACAUGAACUGGGUGUUCAAAUAAAACGCCAUAAAAACACUCAAUUCAGAAAAAUGCCAUGAAAAUACCCGGUUAAAAACGCCAUAAAACACCUAGUUCAGAAAAAACGCAAUGAAAAAACUCAGUUGAAAACGCCAUAAAACACUCAGUUCAGA
RNAcentral lists this long non-coding RNA (720 nucleotides) under Helianthus annuus (common sunflower). RNAcentral describes it as "sRNA HanXRQr2_Chr05g0216791". The record is from RNAcentral. Lineage: Eukaryota; Viridiplantae; Streptophyta; Magnoliopsida; Asterales; Asteraceae.